This is a long non-coding RNA of Bos taurus (domestic cattle), 886 nucleotides long. Lineage: Eukaryota; Metazoa; Chordata; Mammalia; Artiodactyla; Bovidae. The record is from Ensembl.
GAGCACGAGUGAGCAGGGGAGGGUCAGUGAGGAGGAAACCGACAGGGAUGCUGCUGGUCCUUCUCGCUAAGAAUUCCUAAAUCCGCUUCCUCCUUCUCGGGUCCUCGGCCGGUGCAUCUCAAUAGGCGGUCCCGCCGGUUGUGCUGGGCUGCGAGGAGAUGUCCCCUUCUCCACGUAGCCAUUUAGCACGGCUCACUGACCCUGCGGGCCAGCCUGGGGCUGGGAACUGCCUCUGUCCCACCGUGGGGACAGGCCGACCCUGCAGGCAAAGGACAAGCAGCUGCGAAGAUUGUCCCGGGGCAGGGUCCCAGCACCGCUGCUGCGGAUUAGUUUGCCGGUCCCUGAAGUGUGGGUGUCUGCCUCAGGCUCCCCGGAGCAGCGUGCCCCCUGACACAGCCUUCCCAGGUAAAUGGCUCACUUAGGUCCUGAAGCCAAGCUGGGACUCACCGUGGCCCCCGGGCCCAGAAGGAAGCCAAAGCCGCUAACAUCCUCCUGCUGCACCAGCCCACAGGGAGAGGGAAGUGGAGCCCCAGCCAAGCCAGGGCAUCCUCCGCACCCUGUACCCCGCUUCCCCCUCCCCCUCCCUCUCCCUGUCCCCACUCCUCCAUCCUCCCCCCUCUCCCAGGGGCUCCUCCCAGGCCUGCCCCUUCUCUGCCCUGCAGGCUCCUCCCUAGGAAGGUGUCCUUGUUCACCUGGAACUGCAACUCCUGCAGCAACCUGCGUGGCCACUUUUGAGAAUUCCCUGCAUGAUUUGAAAGCUAUUUGCAAAUAGAAGGUAUAUACCCAUAAGAAUUGAAGAUAGGAAUUGGAACAAAACUUGUACACAAAGGAUCCUAGCCAGGAGGAGGCCCUCCUGUCUCCACCGCCCCCCCAAUCCCCCCCACCC